This 446-nucleotide ribosomal RNA is filed under the name Armadillidae sp. 4 SK2011. RNAcentral describes it as "partial 16S ribosomal RNA". It matches the Rfam family "Bacterial large subunit ribosomal RNA", at positions 1828 to 2594 of the family's 2925-position model. Lineage: Eukaryota; Metazoa; Arthropoda; Malacostraca; Isopoda; Armadillidae. The record is from RNAcentral.
AAAACAUUUUUUAAAGAAUUUUAAGUAGAGCCUGCUCACUGAAGUUUUAAAGAGCCGCAGUAUCCUGACUGUGCUAAGGUAGCGUAAUCAUUUGUUAUUUAAUUGAUAGCUUGUAUGAAGGCCUGACGAGAAAAUUUCUUUUUUUCUUAUAAACCAAUAAAUUUAUAUUGGAGUAAAAAAGCUUUAUUCUACCAGAAAGACGAUAAGACCCUAGAACCUUUAUUUAUAUAAAUUUAUUGGGGUGAUACAAAUAUAAACAAACUGUUAUUUUAACCUGCUGUGUGAAUAGUCCUAACUUUUCUAAAAAAAAAAAGGUACUCUAGGGAUAACAGCAUAAUCUCUCUUUAGAGCCCUUAUCGACAGAGAGGAUUUUGACCUCGAUGUUGAAUUGAGGUUUCUUACUUAAAGCAGAAUUUAAUUGAAAGGGUCUGUUCGACCUUUAAUUC